Molecule: ribosomal RNA, 468 nt
Filed under: Triticum aestivum (bread wheat)
Lineage: Eukaryota; Viridiplantae; Streptophyta; Magnoliopsida; Poales; Poaceae
Description: partial small subunit ribosomal RNA
Source: RNAcentral
AUGACAGACGACGAGAAGCUCCUAAUCCGAACUUUCAAUGCUGUGAAGCUACAAACAAGACAAAUAAUAGCAAUCCUAAGUUACUUGAGAGGCGGGAACACUCCUUACACCAAAAAGCAUGUAAGGAAUGUUAGAACAGCCAUUGGCAAAGAGAGCAAUCAAAAUGACAUGAUGCAGGUGCUCACAUAUUUCAGGAAGAGACAAGCUGACGAUCCACAGUUUUACUAUGCGUUCAAAACAAAUAAAGUCCCUGAUGACGCAAGUAAAGUUUUGUGCAUUUUCUGGGCUGACAGAUAUCCUAGGAAAAUGUAUGAGCUGUAUGGCGAUUGCCUCAGCUUCGACACAACAUUCAAGACAAACAGAUACAACCUCCCGUUUGCUCCCUUUGUUGGUGUCACGGGACAUGGCCAGAACUGUUUGUUUGCUUGCUCUAUCAUAGAGAAUGAAACAGCUGACACCUUUCAAUAG